Molecule: unclassified non-coding RNA, 684 nt
Filed under: Hevea brasiliensis (rubber tree)
Lineage: Eukaryota; Viridiplantae; Streptophyta; Magnoliopsida; Malpighiales; Euphorbiaceae
Source: RNAcentral
GAACCCCUUCAUCUGCUGCAACAGCUGCUGCUGUUGCUGCAGGCUCAUCUGCUGCGGGUUCAACGGAGCCUUUUGGUCUUUUCCGCCGGUUUCACCACCUCCGCCGCCCUUCUGUGGCUUACCGCCACCACCCUUCUGUUGAUUCUUUCCAUUAUCAAGUUGAAGCUUCUGGAACUGACCAUUGAGAUUACCGUUGUUGUUGCCGCCGGCACCUUUGCUGGACAGCAACUCGGCAUGCUUGCCGGACUUGGCGAGCUUUUUUAUUAGGGUGGCUGGUUCCACGUUGCCGGUGACGGUCACCUUCCCUUGCUCUGCAUCUAUGCUUGUUGUGUACACCCCAUCAAUCUUUUGGAGUAGCUUCUUCACCUUCUUCUUGCAUCCAUCACAGUGGAUGUGAACUUUGAGAACACAUGUCUGUAUCUUGAGGAAAUUGAUGUCUGUGUCUUUACUCAUGGCUGCAGAUCAAGUUGAGUAACAGAAUAAGAUCUGGGUUGAGGGAGCUAUGUAGCAGGGUUUGUUACAGGGAGCCAGAGGUGGAGGAAAAUAGGGGUAGUGGAGAUUAGAAGCAAAGGCCACUGCUUCUGGGUUGCUCACAAAAUGAAGGGAUGUCAGGUUGAGAAUGAAAAUAUAGGCUGUCGGUGGACAUUAUAAUAGCUCUUUACAAAGCCAUUAGGGGAGUCGGUG